UUACGGGAGGCAGCAGUAGGGAAUAUUGGUCAAUGGGUGAAAGCCUGAACCAGCCAUGCCGCGUGCAGGAAGACGGCCUUCUGGGUUGUAAACUGCUUUUGCCAGGGGAUAAAAUACCCAUGCGUGGGGAAUUGAAGGUACCUGGUGAAUAAGCCACGGCUAACUACGUGCCAGCAGCCGCGGUAAUACGUAGGUGGCAAGCGUUGUCCGGAUUUAUUGGGUUUAAAGGGUGCGUAGGCGGUUCUAUAAGUCAGUGGUGAAAUACGGCAGCUCAACUGUCGAGGUGCCAUUGAUACUGUAGGACUAGAGUACUGUUGAGGUAGGCGGAAUGGACGGUGUAGCGGUGAAAUGCUUAGAUAUCGUCCAGAACACCGAUAGCGAAGGCAGCUUACUAAAGAGUAACUGACGCUGAGGCACGAAAGUGUGGGGAUCAAACAGGAUUAGAUACCCCGGU
RNAcentral lists this ribosomal RNA (454 nucleotides) under uncultured bacterium. RNAcentral's name for it is "bacterial SSU rRNA". It matches the Rfam family "Bacterial small subunit ribosomal RNA", at positions 339 to 791 of the family's 1533-position model. The record is from RNAcentral.